GAUUGAACGCUGGCGGCAGGCCUAACACAUGCAAGUCGAGCGGUAGCACAGAGAGCUUGCUCUCGGGUGACGAGCGGCGGACGGGUGAGUAAUGUCUGGGAAACUGCCUGAUGGAGGGGGAUAACUACUGGAAACGGUAGCUAAUACCGCAUAACGUCGCAAGACCAAAGUGGGGGACCUUCGGGCCUCAUGCCAUCAGAUGUGCCCAGAUGGGAUUAGCUAGUAGGUGGGGUAACGGCUCACCUAGGCGACGAUCCCUAGCUGGUCUGAGAGGAUGACCAGCCACACUGGAACUGAGACACGGUCCAGACUCCUACGGGAGGCAGCAGUGGGGAAUAUUGCACAAUGGGCGCAAGCCUGAUGCAGCCAUGCCGCGUGUGUGAAGAAGGCCUUCGGGUUGUAAAGCACUUUCAGCGGGGAGGAAGGCGGUGAGGUUAAUAACCUCACCGAUUGACGUUACCCGCAGAAGAAGCACCGGCUAACUCCGUGCCAGCAGCCGCGGUAAUACGGAGGGUGCAAGCGUUAAUCGGAAUUACUGGGCGUAAAGCGCACGCAGGCGGUCUGUCAAGUCGGAUGUGAAAUCCCCGGGCUCAACCUGGGAACUGCAUUCGAAACUGGCAGGCUAGAGUCUUGUAGAGGGGGGUAGAAUUCCAGGUGUAGCGGUGAAAUGCGUAGAGAUCUGGAGGAAUACCGGUGGCGAAGGCGGCCCCCUGGACAAAGACUGACGCUCAGGUGCGAAAGCGUGGGGAGCAAACAGGAUUAGAUACCCUGGUAGUCCACGCUGUAAACGAUGUCGAUUUGGAGGUUGUGCCCUUGAGGCGUGGCUUCCGGAGCUAACGCGUUAAAUCGACCGCCUGGGGAGUACGGCCGCAAGGUUAAAACUCAAAUGAAUUGACGGGGGCCCGCACAAGCGGUGGAGCAUGUGGUUUAAUUCGAUGCAACGCGAAGAACCUUACCUGGUCUUGACAUCCACAGAACUUAGCAGAGAUGCUUUGGUGCCUUCGGGAACUGUGAGACAGGUGCUGCAUGGCUGUCGUCAGCUCGUGUUGUGAAAUGUUGGGUUAAGUCCCGCAACGAGCGCAACCCUUAUCCUUUGUUGCCAGCGGUUAGGCCGGGAACUCAAAGGAGACUGCCAGUGAUAAACUGGAGGAAGGUGGGGAUGACGUCAAGUCAUCAUGGCCCUUACGACCAGGGCUACACACGUGCUACAAUGGCAUAUACAAAGAGAAGCGACCUCGCGAGAGCAAGCGGACCUCAUAAAGUAUGUCGUAGUCCGGAUUGGAGUCUGCAACUCGACUCCAUGAAGUCGGAAUCGCUAGUAAUCGUAGAUCAGAAUGCUACGGUGAAUACGUUCCCGGGCCUUGUACACACCGCCCGUCACACCAUGGGAGUGGGUUGCAAAAGAAGUAGGUAGCUUAACCUUCGGGAGGGCGCUUACCACUUUGUGAUUCAUGACUGGGGUGAAGUCGUAACAAGG
Molecule: ribosomal RNA, 1477 nt
Filed under: uncultured bacterium
Lineage: Bacteria
Description: bacterial SSU rRNA
Rfam family: Bacterial small subunit ribosomal RNA
Source: RNAcentral